AGAAAGUGUGCGCUGAUCGAGUAAUUGCUUUGAACUCUGUCUCCGAUUCGUUAUACUGAUUUACAUCUUGAAAGUAGCUUCGCCACAUCACGGUCCCUUUUAGGUUAGGAUUAUGCUGGAAAACUGUCAAAUGAAGAAUCAUAAAGUUGCGAUACUGCAAUUUUUUUAUUUUCUCAUGCUCAUUCCUCGAUUGAACACAAAAGAUGCUUGUUAAGUGUGGGAAAUGAUUCCAGAGGACCACCAA
Long non-coding RNA from Habropoda laboriosa, 244 nucleotides. RefSeq lists it as uncharacterized. NCBI's taxonomy places the organism in Eukaryota, Metazoa, Arthropoda, Insecta, Hymenoptera, Apidae. The transcript is spliced from 3 exons. The record is from RefSeq and is a predicted model, not a curated record.